Molecule: long non-coding RNA, 772 nt
Organism: Eutrema salsugineum
Lineage: Eukaryota; Viridiplantae; Streptophyta; Magnoliopsida; Brassicales; Brassicaceae
Exons: 2
Source: RefSeq, a predicted model, not a curated record
AAAAAAAAACUAAGGUUAUCUCGCUUUCUCCUUAUCCGAUUUGUGAUUUCUCGCAUUUGCAUAAGGCCCUCUAGAACCACAACUCUUCCCCUCUUAAAUCUUUCAAUUUCUCAAAAUAGAACUCUGUAAGUACUUCUCAUUCCCAAUCGCAGCACAUAUUCGUUUCCAGGUUUUGGAUUAAUCUUUCUUCUUCGCUCCAUAUUAUGAAAUCUGAUGUGGGUUCAUGUAAUUAAGAGAGGAUGAACAACUCCAAAAUUUACGACAAGAGCAACUAAGAGAGGAUGAACAACUCCAAAAUUUACGACGAAGAAUGGACCACAACACAACCCAAGAAAAGUUGAUAGAUUCAAUCAGGACCGGAUGAUGCUAUGUCAGUGAAGAAUGAAUGAGUUAAAGUUUCGUUGACAGUGAGAAGAAAAUUCUGAGAAGAUAUUUGUGAAAUAUGAACCUUCCAAUUCUCUUGAUUCAGGUAUGGAUCUUCGGAAAGAUAAUUAAUCAUUGUGGAGGUUUACAUGAUAGAUACCAUACAUUAUUUUUCAGUACAAAAAAUUCACUGAGUGCAUAUUGGACAAGUCAAAGUGUGUUGGAGAUUCUUCUCAAAUUUUGCUCCAUAAUUACCUCAAAAGCAAAGCAAAGUGUGUUGGAGAUUUUUUUCUUCUUUGCAUCAAUGUUGCUCUUCUUUCAAGAGAGAUAUUUAAUUCUUCUAUUGCUUUGUAAUUCCAACGUAAUUGUUACUCAAAGUUAUGGCAAGGCAAGCGAAGAUUUGAUAUGA